Molecule: ribosomal RNA, 465 nt
Filed under: uncultured bacterium
Lineage: Bacteria
Description: partial 16S ribosomal RNA
Rfam family: Bacterial small subunit ribosomal RNA
Source: RNAcentral
GACGAACGCUGGCGGCGUGCUUAACACAUGCAAGUCGAACGGAAAGGCCCCUUUGGGGGUACUCGAGCGGCGGACGGGUGCGUAACACGUGCGUAACCUGCCCUUGACUUCGGGAUAACUUCAGGAAACUGGGGCUAAUACCGGAUAGGAAUCCUUGCUUCAUGGUGGGGGUUGGAAAGCUUCGGCGGGUUUGGAUGGACUCGCGGCUUAUCUGCUUGUUGGUGGGGUAGUUGCUUACCAAGGCUUUGGCGGGUAGCCGGCCUGGGAGGGCGACCGGCCACAUUGGGACUGAGGUGCGGCCCAGACUCCUACGGGAGGGAGCAGUGGGGAAUAUUGCACAAUGGGCGGAAGCCUGGUGCAGCAACGCCGCGUGCGGGAUGACGGCCUUCGGGUUGUAAAACGCUUUCAGCAGGGGCGAAGCUUGUGGUGACGGUACCUGCAGAAGAAGCACCGGCUAACUACGUG